GGGGGUGUAACUCAGUGGUAGAGUGCCUGCUUCGCAUGCAGGAAGUCCUGGGUUCAAAUCCCAGCUCCUCCA
Molecule: transfer RNA, 72 nt
Filed under: Cryptotermes secundus
Lineage: Eukaryota; Metazoa; Arthropoda; Insecta; Blattodea; Kalotermitidae
Description: tRNA-Ala (CGC) (tRNA-Ala-CGC-1-1)
Rfam family: tRNA
About the family: Transfer RNA (tRNA) molecules are approximately 80 nucleotides in length. Their secondary structure includes four short double-helical elements and three loops (D, anti-codon, and T loops).
Source: Rfam by way of RNAcentral